GAAGUCCCAGGUUAUGGCAUCGCUCUGCUAGUCCUAUUCUCUGUGAUCCUCUUCCUCCUUUUCUGCAUGUUCAUCAUAUGGAUUUGCUGUGCUGCCCGAGGAGACUCUCAGCAGAACCAGGGAGUAUACCUACAAAACCUUGGCCUUUCCAGACAACAGCAAUAAAAGCCAACGACCUCUGAUCUCCUCAUAUACCUCACUACCUACGACUCCUGUGCCGCAUCUCCCGGGGGGG
Molecule: long non-coding RNA, 235 nt
Organism: Spea bombifrons (plains spadefoot toad)
Lineage: Eukaryota; Metazoa; Chordata; Amphibia; Anura; Pelobatidae
Exons: 2
Source: RefSeq, a predicted model, not a curated record